Molecule: signal recognition particle RNA, 104 nt
Filed under: Lachnospiraceae bacterium oral taxon 082 str. F0431
Lineage: Bacteria; Bacillati; Bacillota; Clostridia; Lachnospirales; Lachnospiraceae
Description: Bacterial signal recognition particle RNA
Rfam family: Bacterial small signal recognition particle RNA
About the family: The signal recognition particle (SRP) is a universally conserved ribonucleoprotein involved in the co-translational targeting of proteins to membranes.
Source: RNAcentral
AGUGGGGGUCCCCACGCAAUGGAAACUUUCGAACCGUGUCAGGACAGGAAUGUAGCAGCACUAAGGAAGACCUUUCAUGUGCCGUGAGAUAGCCGCCGCGGAGC